AAUUAAGGUGAAACCGCGAAAGGCUCAUUAAAUCAGUUAUGGUUCCCUUGGAUCGUACCACUUUUACUUGGAUAACUGUGGUAAUUCUAGAGCUAAUACAUGCAAAUAGAGCUCCGACCGGAGACGGAAGGACGCGCUUUUAUUAGAACAAAACCAAUCGGCGGCGGGCGCCUCGCGCGUCCGUCGUCGUACGCAAUGUUGAAUCUGAAUAACUUUUUGCUGAUCGCACGGUCUCGCACCGGCGACGCAUCUUUCAAAUGUCUGCCUUAUCAACUGUCGAUGGUAGGUUCUGCGCCUACCAUGGUCGUAACGGGUAACGGGGAAUCAGGGUUCGAUUCCGGAGAGGGAGCCUGAGAAACGGCUACCACAUCCAAGGAAGGCAGCAGGCGCGCAAAUUACCCACUCCCGGCACGGGGAGGUAGUGACGAAAAAUAACGAUACGGGACUCAUCCGAGGCCCCGUAAUCGGAAUGAGUACAAUCUAAACCCUUUAACGAGGAUCGAUUGGAGGGCAAGUCUGGUGCCAGCAGCUGCGGUAAUUCCAGCUCCAAUAGCGUAUAUUAAAGUUGUUGCGGUUAAAAAGCUCGUAGUCGAAUCUGUGUCCCGCGCCGCCGGUUCAUCGCACGCGGUGUUUAACUGGCGUGUCCGCGGGACGUCCUGCCGGUGGGCCCGUCGUCCGUCUCGUCGACGUCGUCGUUCGCGGCGGCCCGGCGUCGGCGACGGCCCAACUCAAUCCCGCCGCGGUGCUCUUCACUGAGUGUCGAGGUGGGCCGGCACUUUUACUUUGAACAAAUUAGAGUGCUUAAAGCAGGCUAAAACUUUGCCUGAAUACCGUGUGCAUGGAAUAAUGGAAUAGGACCUCGGUUCUAUUUUGUUGGUUUUCGGAACCCCGAGGUAAUGAUUAACAGGAACGGAUGGGGGCAUUCGUAUUGCGACGUUAGAGGUGAAAUUCUUGGAUCGUCGCAAGACGAACAGAAGCGAAAGCAUUUGCCAAAAACGUUUUCAUUGAUCAAGAACGAAAGUUAGAGGUUCGAAGGCGAUCAGAUACCGCCCUAGUUCUAACCAUAAACGAUGCCAGCUAGCGAUCCGCCGAAGUUCCUUCGAUGACUCGGCGGGCAGCUUCCGGGAAACCAAAGCUUUUGGGUUCCGGGGGAAGUAUGGUUGCAAAGCUGAAACUUAAAGGAAUUGACGGAAGGGCACCACCAGGAGUGGAGCCUGCGGCUUAAUUUGACUCAACACGGGAAACCUCACCAGGCCCGGACACCGGAAGGAUUGACAGAUUGAGAGCUCUUUCUUGAUUCGGUGGGUGGUGGUGCAUGGCCGUUCUUAGUUGGUGGAGCGAUUUGUCUGGUUAAUUCCGAUAACGAACGAGACUCUAGCCUGCUAAAUAGGCGUACUUCCGGCAUCUCAAAGGCCCGCCGGUCCGUGGCGUUCGCGUCGCGGCGCCGUGCGCGGUUUUUACUGUCGGCGUACACACAAUUCUUCUUAGAGGGACAGGCGGCUUCUAGCCGCACGAGAUUGAGCAAUAACAGGUCUGUGAUGCCCUUAGAUGUUCUGGGCCGCACGCGCGCUACACUGAAGGAAUCAGCGUGUCCUCCCUGGCCGAGAGGCCCGGGUAACCCGCUGAACCUCCUUCGUGCUAGGGAUUGGGGCUUGCAAUUUUUCCCCAUGAACGAGGAAUUCCCAGUAAGCGCGAGUCAUAAGCUCGCGUUGAUUACGUCCCUGCCCUUUGUACACACCGCCCGUCGC
This 1748-nucleotide ribosomal RNA is filed under the name Paragrilus aeraticollis. RNAcentral describes it as "SSU rRNA". It matches the Rfam family "Eukaryotic small subunit ribosomal RNA", at positions 74 to 1679 of the family's 1831-position model. Lineage: Eukaryota; Metazoa; Arthropoda; Insecta; Coleoptera; Buprestidae. The record is from RNAcentral.